Molecule: long non-coding RNA, 316 nt
Filed under: Vigna radiata
Lineage: Eukaryota; Viridiplantae; Streptophyta; Magnoliopsida; Fabales; Fabaceae
Description: long non-coding RNA (VRAD_LNC010584)
Source: RNAcentral
UUUUUGUAUGAUAUGGCUAACGGUGAGCCCGGUGUGUGCCACGUUUUUUCUUUUUUUCUGAAAUUUUUUCCACGUUUUUUCCAAACCCUUCCUUCAUCACAAUCUCCAACAGAAACCCUAACCCUCCUCCACCAUCUUCUCCCCAGCCGCCGCCAACUUCAUGCUCGCCGGCCACCACACGCACACCGCCGAAAGGCCCCCACCACAGAAGCGACCUCAAACCUCACCGACCACCACGAGCUCGUGCCUCCGCCAUACUCGCAUCAGGAAAGUCCUCUGUCAAUGCAUAUAACCGUCUCCUCAGCACGCCACCGCC